Strongylocentrotus purpuratus (purple sea urchin) is the source of this 2163-nucleotide long non-coding RNA. RefSeq lists it as uncharacterized. Lineage: Eukaryota; Metazoa; Echinodermata; Echinoidea; Camarodonta; Strongylocentrotidae. The record is from RefSeq and is a predicted model, not a curated record. The transcript is spliced from 2 exons.
UCUGUAAUUGGAAACAGUAGAUAAAGAUGCAGUUAAUCAACUUGAUAUUAUUAUGAUGUAUAUAUAUUUAGUAUUCUUGUUUGUUUGUCUAUUUCAGUAAAUAGAAUGAGAAGGUGAAUCUGCGAUGACUACACCGCUGGAGAUUCAUGGAAAUGAAACUGGACUAGAAGGGCAAAUUGAUGCCAUUCAUAUUUCUCCUAAAUUCACUUGUGCUAAGAUAUGGAGAGCAUAAUUGAAUGAUGAUGAUAUUGGAUUUAUCUUAAGAUGUAAAGAGAUAUUUUGAGAAUGAAGAUACUUAAUUAUAUUGUUUGUUAUUGUGUAAAGAUUCUGUAAAUAAUAAGAAAAUAUGCAUUCAGCUACUGGUUGCUGGGUCAGCAACUUGGAAAGAGGGGGAUAGUGUGACGGAUAUAUGAAAAUGAUCUUUCUCUUUCUUACUCUUUCUCUUUAUAUAUUCAAUACUUGUAAAUAUUGUGACCAUUAUAAAUAUAAAAUGUCUUUUAUAGUCGUUACUUAUUUGUGACAUGUUUUUAACGGAUUGCUCUGAACGGGAGACUAGUCUACAAGUAGCAUGUGCUCUUUGUUUAUCAACAAUGCUUAAUUUAUUCCACUAUUGAUCGAUAACUUAAUAUUCAUGUAUUAUUCAUUAGUUUAAGGCGCGAUCCAAGGUGCGCAGCCAAUUAAAUGAUUGUAUAUGCGCGUACGGCUUUCUUUUCCAUGCGCGACCCAACCAGUAUAAAUAGUCCGCGCGUGGGUUACUGGGUUACCCAGGUACGUGACUGACAGCUUUUUACAGGCUAGUACGCGACUACAGUUUUAUUUGCAGGGUAUUACGCGAAAGACUAUGAAUAUUUGGAAAGGAAGGCUUCGGUCCUUCGUGACCUAAUAAGGCCAGAAAGUCACCAGUGCCUCCGUAGUUUAAUUCAUAUAUUUAAUAUUGUAUAACGCUUAAACUUAUAACACAUGUAUUCGCCUAUCUAGAGGGCGUGAUACUCCGUAGAUCGUAUAAUGAUGUUUUAAUGAACUUGAUAUUGUAUAUAGAUAUUGUAUAGAAAGUGUAUAAAGGAUCGAGAGAGUUGGAGAAACAACUUUGUCGUAUAUCUAUAGUUUAUUAUCUACAUUUAUUUAAUGCAUAUAUAACAGUUUAUUACAGACAUGAGUGUAACUCCCCCCCCCCCCCCCCCCCCCUUUCUCCUUCUUCGUCCUGUCUUGGAAGGGACAGUGUGUCCUUCAACCUGGAAUGGACACAGAACGUUAUAUGUAUAGACAAUGCAUGGGCUUGUCUUGGAGGACACAGUGUCCUUAGAUUUGGACAUGGACACAGUGUCUCUUUUCUUCCCCCCCCCUUCUUACUCAUUUGAAUUGCACUCAUUAUUGUAUAUAGCAUGACAUGUAUAUUAAUAGAAUGACAUUGAAUAGUGGACAGUUGAAUAUGUACACUCGUAGUUAAUUAAUUAAAUAGCUGCAUUUACGAGCCUAUCUAAAUCAGGCAAUUAUUACUUUACUACAUAAUUAAGAGGUGCGAACUUAAGACAGUAAGGGACGAAUUCAAUGGAAUGCCGGUUAUCUUUGAAUUUAGAAAGUCAAAUCUUAUACAAGUAUAUUCUGGAGUAAGUUAUAACUAGGAGAUAAAUACUCGAGGCUAGUUUAUAACAGUGAUGAUGGAUUUAUAUAGGUACAAUGUUUAACCGACAGAGUGUGUUAGCUUGUUACUUAAUAAAGGAGUGGAUAGACUUUUGAAAUCCUGGUCGGAAGGGUGUAUUGGUUUAAAUGUUUCAUUCUUGUAGAAUGGGGACGAUAGGGACACAUUGGCCAAAGGUGUCGGGCGCAGGUAGAUAGUUGUUUCAAGGGGUAGGAGUACCGAGAAUACUAGUAGUCGGUCAGAAUAGAGUUACUUGUAAUAGGAGUUAGAAAGAAAUGCUAACUUUGGUUUGAUAGCCAUGGUGGUUUGUAAAGUUCGUUAGAAAAGCCUCUAUCUAAGUUCAGUAAGUUUAUACAUGUACAUUAUUUAAAUCGUAUGCAGUCUAUACUAGUCAAUUAAGUGUUGACAUCCUGUAAAUAUGAAGCUAAGAAAUACUGUAUAAAUUAUAUAAGCAGUAAACAUUUAUUACAAUAAUUAAUUAAUGUAUAUCUAGUAGCAAUCAGUAAGUUAGUAAGUUCAUGGAA